RNAcentral lists this ribosomal RNA (253 nucleotides) under uncultured bacterium. RNAcentral describes it as "partial 16S ribosomal RNA". It matches the Rfam family "Bacterial small subunit ribosomal RNA", at positions 524 to 776 of the family's 1533-position model. The record is from RNAcentral.
UACGUAGGGUGCAAGCGUUGUCCGGAAUUAUUGGGCGUAAAGGGCUCGUAGGCGGUUUGUCGCGUCGGGAGUGAAAUCCACUGGCUUAACUGGUGGCUUGCUUUCGAUACGGGCAGACUGGAGGUAUGCAGGGGAGAACGGAAUUCCUGGUGUAGCGGUGAAAUGCGCAGAUAUCAGGAGGAACACCGGUGGCGAAGGCGGUUCUCUGGGCCUGUACUGACGCUGAGGAGCGAAAGUGUGGGGAGCGAACAGG